This 359-nucleotide ribosomal RNA is filed under the name uncultured eukaryote. RNAcentral's name for it is "partial 18S ribosomal RNA". It matches the Rfam family "Eukaryotic small subunit ribosomal RNA", at positions 592 to 976 of the family's 1831-position model. The record is from RNAcentral.
UGCUAGCGUAUAUUAUUGAUGUUGCAGUUAAAACGUUCGUAGUCAACCGUUGUCCGACAAAAUAGACGACGCUUUUGGCAUUAUCUAUUGUCGUCGGAUAAUGCGAGGCUUCAAGGUUUUAAACCUUGUUUACUUCGCCUUUACUUUGAGUGAAUCGGCGUGUUCAACGCAGGCGACAGCCAUGAACGAUUUACCAUAGAAUAAAGAUAUUGUAAUAUCAGUACUCCGUCCACGCGGUAUUGGUAUUAAUAGAUAUGAGAACGGUUGAGGACAUUCAUAUUCAACUGCCAGAGGUGAAAUUCUUUGAUUAGUUGAGGAUGAACAAUGGCGAAAGCAUCUGUCCAAGACGUUUNUGUCGA